ACGUGGGUAACCUGCCUGUAAGACUGGGAUAACUCCGGGAAACCGGGGCUAAUACCGGAUGGUUGUCUGAACCGCAUGGUUCAGACAUAAAAGGGUGGCUUCGGGCUACCACUUUACCAGAUGAGACCCGGCGGCGCAUUAGCUAGUUGGUGAGGUAACGGCUCACCAAGGCGACGAUGCGUAGCCGACCUGAGAGGGUGAUCGGCCACACUGGGACUGAGACACGGCCCAGACUCCUACGGGAGGCAGCAGUAGGGAAUCUUCCGCAAUGGACGAAAGUCUGACGGAGCAACGCCGCGUGAGUGAUGAAGGUUUUCGGAUCGUAAAGCUCUGUUGUUAGGGAAGAACAAGUGCCGUUCAAAUAGGGCGGCACCUUGACGGUACCUAACCAGAAAGCCACGGCUAACUACGUGCCAGCAGCCGCGGUAAUACGUAGGUGGCAAGCGUUGUCCGGAAUUAUUGGGCGUAAAGGGCUCGCAGGCGGUUUCUUAAGUCUGAUGUGAAAGCCCCCGGCUCAACCGGGGAGGGUCAUUGGAAACUGGGGAACUUGAGUGCAGAAGAGGAGAGUGGAAUUCCACGUGUAGCGGUGAAAUGCGUAGAGAUGUGGAGGAACACCAGUGGCGAAGGCGACUCUCUGGUCUGUAACUGACGCUGAGGAGCGAAAGCGUGGGGAGCGAACAGGAUUAGAUACCCUGGUAGUCCACGCCGUAAACGAUGAGUGCUAAGUGUUAGGGGGUUUCCGCCCCUUAGUGCUGCAGCUAACGCAUUAAGCACUCCGCCUGGGGAGUACGGUCGCAAGACUGAAACUCAAAGGAAUUGACGGGGGCCCGCACAAGCGGUGGAGCAUGUGGUUUAAUUCGAAGCAACGCGAAGAACCUUACCAGGUCUUGACAUCCUCUGACAAUCCUAGAGAUAGGACGUCCCCUUCGGGGGCAGAGUGACAGGUGGUGCAUGGUUGUCGUCAGCUCGUGUCGUGAGAUGUUGGGUUAAGUCCCGCAACGAGCGCAACCCUUGAUCUUAGUUGCCAGCAUUCAGUUGGGCACUCUAAGGUGACUGCCGGUGACAAACCGGAGGAAGGUGGGGAUGACGUCAAAUCAUCAUGCCCCUUAUGACCUGGGCUACACACGUGCUACAAUGGACAGAACAAAGGGCAGCGAAACCGCGAGGUUAAGCCAAUCCCACAAAUCUGUUCUCAGUUCGGAUCGCAGUCUGCAACUCGACUGCGUGAAGCUGGAAUCGC
RNAcentral lists this ribosomal RNA (1240 nucleotides) under Bacillus velezensis. RNAcentral's name for it is "bacterial SSU rRNA". It matches the Rfam family "Bacterial small subunit ribosomal RNA", at positions 115 to 1335 of the family's 1533-position model. Lineage: Bacteria; Bacillati; Bacillota; Bacilli; Caryophanales; Bacillaceae. The record is from RNAcentral.